RNAcentral lists this ribosomal RNA (253 nucleotides) under uncultured Eubacteriales bacterium. RNAcentral describes it as "uncultured Clostridiales bacterium partial 16S ribosomal RNA". It matches the Rfam family "Bacterial small subunit ribosomal RNA", at positions 524 to 776 of the family's 1533-position model. The record is from RNAcentral. Lineage: Bacteria; Bacillati; Bacillota; Clostridia; Eubacteriales.
UACGUAGGGGGCAAGCGUUAUCCGGAUUUACUGGGUGUAAAGGGAGCGUAGACGGCGGGGCAAGUCUGGAGUGAAAGGCCGGGGCCCAACCCCGGGACCGCUCUGGAAACUGCCCGGCUGGAGUGCGGGAGAGGUAAGCGGAAUUCCUAGUGUAGCGGUGAAAUGCGUAGAUAUUAGGAGGAACACCAGCGGCGAAGGCGAUUCACUGGACUGUAACUGACACUGAGGCACGAAAGCGUGGGGAGCAAACAGG